GAUGAACGCUGGCGGCGUGCCUAAUACAUGCAAGUCGAACGAAACUUCUUUAUCACCGAGUGCUUGCACUCACCGAUAAAGAGUUGAGUGGCGAACGGGUGAGUAACACGUGGGCAACCUGCCCAAAAGAGGGGGAUAACACUUAGAAACAGGUGCUAAUACCGCAUAACCAUAGUUACCGCAUGGUAACUAUGUAAAAGGUGGCUAUACUACCGCUUUUGGAUGGGCCCGCGGCGCAUUAGCUAGUUGGUAGGGUAAAGGCUUACCAAGGCAAUGAUGCGUAGCCGAAUUGAGAGGUUGAUCGGCCACAUUGGGACUGAGACACGGCCCAAACUCCUACGGGAGGCAGCAGUAGGGAAUCUUCCACAAUGGGCGAAAGCCUGAUGGAGCAACGCCGCGUGGGUGAAGAAGGUCUUCGGAUCGUAAAACCCUGUUGUUAGAGAAGAAAGUGCGUGAGAGUAACUGUUCACGUUUCGACGGUAUCUAACCAGAAAGCCACGGCUAACUACGUG
Molecule: ribosomal RNA, 512 nt
Filed under: uncultured bacterium
Lineage: Bacteria
Description: partial 16S ribosomal RNA
Rfam family: Bacterial small subunit ribosomal RNA
Source: RNAcentral